GAUGAACGCUGGCGGCGUGCCUAAUACAUGCAAGUCGAGCGAACAGAUGCUUUGCUUGCUCCUCUGACGUUAGCGGCGUACGGGUGAGUAACAUGUGGAUAACCUACCUAUAAGACUGCGAUAACUUCCUGAAACCGGUGCUAAUACCGUAUAAUAUAUUGAACCGCAUGGUUCGAUAGUUCAAGCCGGUUUUGCUGUCACUUCUAGCUGUAUCCUCGCCGUAUUAGCUAUUUGGUAAGGUAACGGCUUCCCAAGGCAACGAUGCGUGGCCGACCUGCGAGAGGGUACGCGGACAGUGGGAGUGAGAGGCGGUACAGAGACAUAGGGGAGGCAGAGAUAGGGAAGGGAGGCAGAAGGGGGAAAGACUGAAGGAGCAGCGCAAGGUGAGUGAAGAAGGGCUGCGGAUCGGAAAACGCUGUUAUGAGGGAAGAACAAAUGUGGAAGGAACGAUGCACGUCGUGACGGUACCUAAACAGAAAGCAACGGCUAACUACGUG
This 497-nucleotide ribosomal RNA is filed under the name uncultured bacterium. RNAcentral describes it as "partial 16S ribosomal RNA". It matches the Rfam family "Bacterial small subunit ribosomal RNA", at positions 28 to 507 of the family's 1533-position model. The record is from RNAcentral.